GACAGAGGGUGCUAGCGUUGUUCGGAAUUACUGGGCGUAAAGGGCGCGUAGGCGGCUCGUUUAGUCGGGUGUGAAAUCCCGGGGCUCAACCCCGGAACUGCAUUCGAUACUGGCGGGCUAGAGACCGGAAGAGGUGGGUGGAAUACCCAGUGUAGAGGUGAAAUUCGUAGAUAUUGGGUGGAACACCGGUGGCGAAGGCGGCUCACUGGUCCGGUUCUGACGCUGAGACGCGAAAGCGUGGGGAGCAAACAGG
Molecule: ribosomal RNA, 253 nt
Filed under: uncultured bacterium
Lineage: Bacteria
Description: partial 16S ribosomal RNA
Rfam family: Bacterial small subunit ribosomal RNA
Source: RNAcentral